RNAcentral lists this ribosomal RNA (360 nucleotides) under uncultured bacterium. RNAcentral describes it as "partial 16S ribosomal RNA". It matches the Rfam family "Bacterial small subunit ribosomal RNA", at positions 338 to 696 of the family's 1533-position model. The record is from RNAcentral.
CCUACGGGAGGCAGCAGUGAGGAAUAUUGGUCAAUGGACGAGAGUCUGAACCAGCCAAGUAGCGUGAAGGAUGACUGCCCUAUGGGUUGUAAACUUCUUCUAUAUGGGAAUAAAAUGUUCCACGUGUGGGCUUUUGUAUGUACCAUAUGAAUAAGGAUCGGCUAACUCCGUGCCAGCAGCCGCGGUAAUACGGAGGAGCCGAGCGUUACCCGGAUUGAUGGGGGUUAAAGGGUGGGUAGGCGGAAGGUUAAGUCAGCGGUCAAAUGUCGGUGCUAAACACCGGCCUGCCGUUGAAACUGGUCUUCUUGAGUGAGCGAGAGGUAUGCAGAAUGCGUGGUGUAGCGGUGAAAUGCGGAGAGA